UAGGGAAUCUUCCACAAUGGACGAAAGUCUGAUGGAGCAACGCCGCGUGAGUGAAGAAGGGUUUCGGGCUCGUAAAACUCUGUUGUUAAAGAAGAACACAUCUGAGAGUAACUGUUCAGGUAUUGACGGUAUUUAACCAGAAAGCCACGGCUAACUACGUGCUAG
Molecule: ribosomal RNA, 165 nt
Filed under: uncultured bacterium
Lineage: Bacteria
Description: partial 16S rRNA
Rfam family: Bacterial small subunit ribosomal RNA
Source: RNAcentral